GUCUGAUCCUAUCUGACCCAACCCCGGAACUUAGAAUGGCCAGACAGUUUUGGAUGGUGGAACGGGGAUAUUUUGGAGAGGUCGGACCCAUCCCAUUCUCUCUCCAGGCACGAGCAGGAACAUCAAAAUCUCAGACCGAAUACAUCGGCAUAUCAUAGAAGACUUAUAAGAUUAAGAUUUUAUAGGCUGCCUGCAGAAAUAGUUGACCGAUCGCACAACAAUUCUUU
RNAcentral lists this long non-coding RNA (227 nucleotides) under Amborella trichopoda. RNAcentral's name for it is "long non-coding RNA (ATRI_LNC003111)". Lineage: Eukaryota; Viridiplantae; Streptophyta; Magnoliopsida; Amborellales; Amborellaceae. The record is from RNAcentral.